This is a long non-coding RNA of Bos grunniens (domestic yak), 2261 nucleotides long. The record is from Ensembl. Lineage: Eukaryota; Metazoa; Chordata; Mammalia; Artiodactyla; Bovidae.
GUGGAAAAUCCGAGACCUGAGGGUCCCAAGAUAACAAGCCAGGCCAGGGGGAGCCCCGUCCACUGUGCGCUGGGGUGGUGCCCUUCACAGUCUGCCAAGCUGUCCCUCCUGGCCGGGAUUGCCAGCUAUAUUGUAGGCUGUGCAUGUAUUAUCCACGUACUGACUAAUAAAAUGCUAAAUAGCCUGCCUGAGAAAAAUACACCUCGUGGACAAAGUAGGAUGAAGUCAUUUCAACCAUAAAUGCCAAGAGAACCGAACAUUUGGUCAGUUGGAGAUUUUAUGAGAAGGGAGGACGACAGACGUGGGUUCACCUCUGCCUCACAUGGACUGAUUUUCAGUUCCCGCUUGACAUACGAACAUGAUGUGACGCGACGGCUGAAAACACCUGCAGUCCUGCUAGCUGCAGACCCACAACCAGGGUCUGGCCCUGCCUCCACCCACCCUUUUUCCUCACCUGAAGGAGGGAGACAGCCCAGCAGAAGCUAUUUUCCUUUAUAGCUGAGUGACUCGGAAAACUGGCUUAAUAAAAUCCAUAAAUCUGAACAACCUCCUCUCACCUGCUCUGCAGAGGCAAUUUUUCCUGCACGUAUUUUCUCCUCGAGUUUCUCCAGUCUUCCCCACAGAGACAGUGGUAGAGGGUUAGCUGGGAACAUUAUUUUUUUAGGGUUCCCACUCCUUCCUUCUCUCUUUGUCAAUCCGCUCCCUACUCAAGUGUGUCUCUUUUCUAAGCAAUUGAUGACAGGACGUACCUUCAUUUUCUUUUGAUGACAAGCGCCAUUUUUCCUUGUUUGGAUUAACGUUCACCUUCCCUUUGGCCAUCUCUUACCACCUGCAUUGGGCCCUGUAUUUUCCUUGUUAGUCAUUUUCUUUUGGCUCUCCUCCUUCCCUCCUCCUUUUCCCCCAUUUGCCUGGUUUAUAAUUUUCUUUUCCUCCAUUUCUGGUCAUGUAGAAUCUUUCUUCUUCCUCAUGGUUACCUUGCUCUUCCCUUACUUCUGUUUUGGUUCCUUAAUUUACUCAUUCUUUAAACAUUCCCCCAACGUCUACUAUGUGCCAGGAAGACAAUGUCCUUGGUGGAACUUGGCCCCUCUUUCUCUGAGUAAAGUUAAUAACUGACACUGACCAGCAACAACAAGAACAGAAGUGGUUUUAAAUUUUAGAUUUUUUUUGGAACUGGAAUGGGCUUCAAGGUUCAUCUGGUCCAGAGAUUUCGAAUUCCUCAGAGGCCCUUUAUGGGCCGCUGGGUAUGUAAUCAAAGAGAUGAGGCUUCAUAGGGCUCCCCCAACCCAGCUUCAAACAGAGGACUUGGACUUUUAGAUGUUUUAUGUCUUGGGGAUUCUUUGUAAGAUUUAUUUGAACAAAGAGUUCUAAGGUUCAGUUAUGUUUGAAAAUAAUUUCUUAGUGUAAUCUCAUUUGACAAAUGAGGAAAAAGGAAGAAGUUAGUGAUUUGUCUAAAGCCAUCCAGAGAAUAAUACCAGAGCUAGGGCACAAGUCUAGCUUCUAGCCCAGCAUUGUUUCAUUUUUUUCUUUUUUUGGUUGCACCUCAUGGCAUGCAGGAUCUUAGUUCCUUUGUGGUGGAAGAUUCUUAACUACUGGACCACCAGGAAAGCCCCACAGCGGGGCCUUUGGAUAGGGCGUACAAUGUCCUCAGCCUCUCAGCAUCCUAAUCUCUGCAUCUGUUUAAUAGAGCUUAUUCUUAUCUAUGGGCUUCCCAAGUGGUGCUAGUAGUAAAUAACCUGCCUGCCAGUGCAGAAGACAUAAGAGACCCGAGUUCGAUCCCUGGGUUGGGAAGAUCCCUGGAGGAGGGCAUGGCAACCACUCCACUAUUCUUGCCUGGAGAAUCCCAUGGACAGAGGAGCCUAGCGGGCUACAGUCCAUAGGGUCACAAAGAGUCAGUCAUGACUGAAGCAAUUUAGCAUGCACACAUUCUUACCUGUUAUAAACCUGGAUUUCUGUAGGAUAUUUGUUCACUGCCCAGACUGUUAUUUCUUAAUCUUUCAAGCAUUAUAUUUUAUACUUAAGGAAAAUCCAAAAUUGGGGAGCCCUCCAUUUGGCUUUCAGUUGGCACUGGCAGUAACCUUAAACUUCAUGCUGAAACUCAUCACUAGAACUCAAGUUGUCAAUGAUUAUUCUCUGUGGCUCUGCUGUGUCCUGUGAAAUGUCUCACUGUUGGAAAUAGUUCUGAAUGUUCCCGUGUCACUCAUGGUAAAUCCACCUAUAGAUUUUCUUUCAUCCUGACUUUUAAUUAAAGUCUAUCAAUCCUG